RNAcentral lists this ribosomal RNA (433 nucleotides) under uncultured bacterium. RNAcentral describes it as "partial 16S ribosomal RNA". It matches the Rfam family "Bacterial small subunit ribosomal RNA", at positions 29 to 507 of the family's 1533-position model. The record is from RNAcentral.
AACGAACGCUGGCGGCAUGCCUAACACAUGCAAGUCGAACGAGACCUUCGGGUCUAGUGGCGCACGGGUGCGUAACGCGUGGGAACCUGCCCUUCGGUUCGGCAUAACUCCCCGAAAGGGGUGCUAAUACCGGAUAAUGUCUUCGGACCAAAGAUUUAUCGCCUUUGGAUGGGCCCGCGUUUGAUUAGCUAGUUGGUAGGGUAAAAGCCUACCAAGGCGACGAUCCAUAGCUGGUCUGAGAGGAUGAUCAGCCACACUGGGACUGAGACACGGCCCAGACUCCUACGGGAGGCAGCAGUGGGGAAUAUUGGACAAUGGGCGAAAGCCUGAUCCAGCAAUGCCGCGUGAGUGAUGAAGGCCUUAGGGUUGUAAAGCUCUUUUACCCGGGAUGAUAAUGACAGUACCGGGAGAAUAAGCUCCGGCUAACUCCGUG